GGGGAUUUGGCUCAGUGGUAGAGCGCUUGCCUAGGAAGCACAAGGUCCGGGGUUCGGUCCCCAGCCCCG
This 69-nucleotide transfer RNA is filed under the name Rattus norvegicus (Norway rat). It matches the Rfam family "tRNA", at positions 1 to 63 of the family's 71-position model. From Rfam's summary of the family: Transfer RNA (tRNA) molecules are approximately 80 nucleotides in length. Lineage: Eukaryota; Metazoa; Chordata; Mammalia; Rodentia; Muridae. The record is from Rfam by way of RNAcentral.